Molecule: ribosomal RNA, 253 nt
Filed under: uncultured bacterium
Lineage: Bacteria
Description: partial 16S ribosomal RNA
Rfam family: Bacterial small subunit ribosomal RNA
Source: RNAcentral
UACGGAGGGUGCAAGCGUUAUCCGGAUUCACUGGGUUUAAAGGGUGCGUAGGAGGGCAGGUAAGUCAGUGGUGAAAUCUCCAAGCUUAACUUGGAAACUGCCGUUGAUACUAUCUGUCUUGAAUAUUGUGGAGGUGAGCGGAAUAUGUCAUGUAGCGGUGAAAUGCUUAGAUAUGACAUAGAACACCCAUUGCGAAGGCAGCUCACUACGGGAAUAUUGACGCUGAGGCACGAAAGCGUGGGGAUCAAACAGG